Molecule: ribosomal RNA, 367 nt
Filed under: uncultured bacterium
Lineage: Bacteria
Description: bacterial SSU rRNA
Rfam family: Bacterial small subunit ribosomal RNA
Source: RNAcentral
CAGGGUUUGACAUCCUGCGAAUCCCUUGGAAACUUGGGAGUGCCUUCGGGAGCGCAGAGACAGGUGGUGCAUGGCUGUCGUCAGCUCGUGUCGUGAGAUGUUGGGUUAAGUCCCGCAACGAGCGCAACCCACGUCUUUAGUUGCCAGCAUUCAGUUGGGCACUCUAGAGAGACCGCCGGUGAUAAACCGGAGGAAGGUGUGGAUGACGUCAAGUCAUCAUGCCCCUUACAUCCUGGGCUACACACGUACUACAAUGCUACGGACAAAGGGCAGCAAACUCGCGAGAGCUAGCAAAUCCCAUAAACCGUGGCUCAGUUCAGAUCGUAGGCUGCAACUCGCCUACGUGAAGGAGGAAUCGCUAGUAAUC